UGGGGAAUAUUGGACAAUGGACCGAGAGUCUGAUCCAGCAAUUCUGUGUGCACGAUGAAGUUUUUCGGAAUGUAAAGUGCUUUCAGUUGGGAAGAAACAAAUGACGGUACCAACAGAAGAAGUGACGGCUAAAUACGUGCCAGCAGCCGCGGUAAUACGUAUGUCACGAGCGUUAUCCGGAUUUAUUGGGCGUAAAGCGCGUCUAGGUGGUUAUAUAAGUCUGAUGUGAAAAUGCAGGGCUCAACUCUGUAUUGCGUUGGAAACUGUAUAACUAGAGUACUGGAGAGGUAAGCGGAACUACAAGUGUAGAGGUGAAAUUCGUAGAUAUUUGUAGGAAUGCCGAUGGGGAAGCCAGCUUACUGGACAGAUACUGACGCUGAAGCGCGAAAGCGUGGGUAGCAAACAGGAUUAGAUACCCUGGUAGUCCACGCCGUAACGAUGAUUACUAGGUGUUGGGGGUCGAACCUCAGCGCCCAAGCAAACGCGAUAAGUAAUCCGCCUGGGAGUACGUACGCAAGUAUG
This 522-nucleotide ribosomal RNA is filed under the name uncultured bacterium. Its description in RNAcentral is "bacterial SSU rRNA". It matches the Rfam family "Bacterial small subunit ribosomal RNA", at positions 355 to 896 of the family's 1533-position model. The record is from RNAcentral.